RNAcentral lists this ribosomal RNA (210 nucleotides) under Triticum aestivum (bread wheat). RNAcentral describes it as "partial small subunit ribosomal RNA". Lineage: Eukaryota; Viridiplantae; Streptophyta; Magnoliopsida; Poales; Poaceae. The record is from RNAcentral.
AUGGCGGACUGGGCACCGGUGGUGGUGGGGGUGGUGCUCUUCAUCCUGCUCUCGCCGGGGCUGCUGUUGGAGAUGCCGGGGUCGCACCGCCACGUCGACUUCGGCGGCCUCCACACCAACGGCAAGGCCAUCUUCGUCCACACCAUCCUCUUCUUCGCCGCCUUCACCAUCCUCACCCUCGCCCUCCACAUCCACAUCUACGCCGGCUAG